This 336-nucleotide long non-coding RNA is filed under the name Helianthus annuus (common sunflower). Its description in RNAcentral is "sRNA HanXRQr2_Chr02g0068081". Lineage: Eukaryota; Viridiplantae; Streptophyta; Magnoliopsida; Asterales; Asteraceae. The record is from RNAcentral.
UCGAAAAUCGAGCAUAGAUUAUUGAUCCCCAUUGCAAGGGGGUUGUAAGUUUGACUCUGACAAGCUAGGUAGGAGCUUGGAAAUGAACGGGUCAAAUGGAUACAAGUUCAAGUAUGAAGCUCGUAAGGAUGCAAGAUAUCCAAUGGAUACUCGCAUCGCUCUUAAUUAGCAAUUAUAAAGCAAGGUAUUAAACCGGGUUAGUAAGUUGAUCCGAGCCAGGUACAUUUUGGAUGCCGGAAGACGAUCAAGCUCAUUGGAGAACCGAACACGAUAAAGAUACAUGCUUCCGCACAGUGUCCCGUCGUAAAUUUUAAACGACGAAUUCAAUUACGUUAU